Molecule: long non-coding RNA, 378 nt
Organism: Amphimedon queenslandica
Lineage: Eukaryota; Metazoa; Porifera; Demospongiae; Haplosclerida; Niphatidae
Exons: 3
Source: RefSeq, a predicted model, not a curated record
UAAUCCACUUUAGGGCUUACCUGAUAUGGAGUGAGAUUGGCUGGACCAGGACGGCAGCUCUUGGAGAGCUCCCAUCGAAUCUCCGUCCCUAGAGAGGCCCACUACUUGUUGUAGUGUGCCUUAAUGUGGGUUGUGCCAAACCCCCCAGCACCUGACUGCAGUUUCAUGGGAAGGAGCCACAGACAGAUAUGGAGGUGGCACUCCCCACUUUCACACCAGGACAGUCCCGAUGGAGGUAACAAACAGACAUAAACACCAUGAACUCAAGAAGGAAACAAGAGAAAACAGAAAAGGAAAAGAGUGGCUUACCUGAUAUGGAGUGAGAUUGGCUGGACCAGGACGGCAGCUCUUGGAGAGCUCCCAUCGAAUCUCCGUCCC